UAAGACGAACCGUGCGAACGUUAUUCGGAAUCACUGGGCUUAAAGCGCGUGUAGGCGGACCGGCACGUCUGGUGCUGAAAUCCCCCGGCUCAACCGGGGAAGGGGCACGGAUACGACCGGUCUGGAGGGGGGUAGGGGGCGCCGGAACUUCCGGUGGAGCGGUGAAAUGCGUUGAGAUCGGAAGGAACGCCCGUGGCGAAAGCGGGCGCCUGGACCCCACCUGACGCUGAGACGCGAAAGCCAGGGGAGCGAACGGGAUUAGAUACCCCGGUAGUCCUGGCCGUAAACCAUGAGCACUGGGUAGGGGGCUCGCCGAUGGGCUCCCUGCCGCAGCGAAAGCGUGAAGUGCUCCGCCUGGGGAGUAUGGUCGCAAGGCUG
Molecule: ribosomal RNA, 378 nt
Filed under: uncultured bacterium
Lineage: Bacteria
Description: bacterial SSU rRNA
Rfam family: Bacterial small subunit ribosomal RNA
Source: RNAcentral